GGAAGUAAAAGUCGUAACAAGAUCUCCGUUGGUGAACCAGCGGAGGGAUCAUUACAGGACUCGCAAGACUCCUUCACCCUGUGAACCUCACUACAAGCACGUUGCUUCGGCGGGUGUCCCGGCGGGGGUUUUCCCUCGCCGGGGCGCACAGCCCGCCGGCAGCCUACUAUACUCUGUCUCUUUGCGUUGGCAUCUCGAGAAAAAACAAACAAGUUAAAACUUUCAACAACGGAUCUCUUGGUUCUG
Molecule: unclassified non-coding RNA, 246 nt
Filed under: plant metagenome
Description: partial contains small subunit ribosomal RNA, internal transcribed spacer 1, and 5.8S ribosomal RNA
Rfam family: Eukaryotic small subunit ribosomal RNA (bases 1-54)
Source: RNAcentral